Molecule: ribosomal RNA, 637 nt
Filed under: Tomentella sp. 12 SE-2015
Lineage: Eukaryota; Fungi; Basidiomycota; Agaricomycetes; Thelephorales; Thelephoraceae
Description: eukaryotic LSU rRNA
Rfam family: 5.8S ribosomal RNA (bases 214-368)
Source: RNAcentral
UGCGGAAGGUCAUUACAGAAUUGUCAACGGGUUGUUGCUGGUCCUCGAACGGGGACAUGUGCACGCUCUGUUUACACAUCCACUCACACCUGUGCACCCUCCGUAGUUCUGUGGUCUGGGGGACCCUGUCUUCCUGCCGUGGUUCUACAUCUUUACACACACACUGUAAUAAAGUCUUAUGGAAUGUAUGCCGCGUCUAACGCAAUACAAUACAACUUUCAGCAACGGAUCUCUUGGCUCUCGCAUCGAUGAAGAACGCAGCGAAAUGCGAUAAGUAAUGUGAAUUGCAGAAUUCAGUGAAUCAUCGAAUCUUUGAACGCACCUUGCGCCCCUUGGCUAUUCCGAGGGGCAUGCCUGUUUGAGUAUCAUGAACACCUCAACUCUCAUGGUUCGCCGUGAUGAGCUUGGACUCUGGGGGUUUUGCUGGCCUGCGGUCGGCUCCCCUCAAAUGAAUCAGCCUCCCAGUGUUUGGUGGCAUCACGGGUGUGAUAAAUAUCUACGCUCGCAGUUGUCCGCCAGGUAACCUUUGGCGACAAAGGUUCGCUGGAGCUCACAGAUGUCUCUCCUCAGCGAGGACAGCUUUUUGAACGUUCGAUCUCAAAUCAGGUAGGACUACCCGCUGAACUUAAGCAUAUCA